GUACUGAGUAGAGGUUAAAAACUGAAAAAAAGUAGAAUGAUUCUCUUUUAGUCCCAAACCUGAAAGACAGGAACCUUCUGUUCCUGUCAACACUGAACAGCUUCACAUCAGGUGGUAUAACACUAGAUUAGCUACACUCAGGGCUGUAACCACUGACUCUCCAGGGCUUGUGAUGUCUUCUCCUCACUGACCUCUACUACUUGCCAUUACUGCUCCUAAACCCCUCAUGUCCAAAAAUAGCCAACAAAUUAAUCUUUUGCCAAUCAGGACAAGGGUUUAAUAAGUAAAAAGAAAUUUUAUUAUCUCUUCUGUAAAUACACAAGAUUAGUGCAAGCUCUCAUAAAUUUGUUUACUGUAAAGAAUGAGAUUAGUUUCUUAUUAUUGAUAGACCUGAUCCAUGAUAACUAUCCCAUAGUCCUGGACAAAGGUAAUUUGAGCUCAGAUAUCUGAACCCUGCCUGCUUGUGCUUGGAACAUAGAAGCCAGUUUGGAAACCUUGUCCAUCUAAUGGCACUUG
RNAcentral lists this long non-coding RNA (516 nucleotides) under Bos taurus (domestic cattle). RNAcentral describes it as "long non-coding RNA NONBTAT016429". Lineage: Eukaryota; Metazoa; Chordata; Mammalia; Artiodactyla; Bovidae. The record is from RNAcentral.